GGCGAGGAACCAGCGAUGGUUCCAGAUUUCGCCUUGAUUCCCAUGGGGUACACGCAGUUGCCGUAGUAGCCUUCCUGCGGCAGCAACCCCCGCAGCAGGUGGCGGGUGUUGGCGGCGAAGCCGAGGUGCACGUCGACGUGGGCGUUGAAGCAUAUCGCCCGCGUCCGGCACUGCCAGGCCAUGGCCGUGACCACGUCAAAGGUGGAGCACUUCUGGCCCCUCUCCCUCGAGAACUGGUUCUUCACUGCGUCGAUGUGGACGGAGGAGAUGUCGAACACGGAGUUCUCGAAGUUGAAGGCCUUGAAGGAGGGUAGUGGAAGUCCUGGCGAUAGCUUCGGCGGACUGGGGAUGGCGUCCCUGCACCAGACUGGGUAGACGACGGGACGAGCGUGGCCUCUUGCGAUCUCGGCGACUGCUUUCAAGAACUGGGCUGCUCCGAGGCCGUCGAACACUACGUGGCUCAGUCGGGUGCCCACUGCGAACCCGCCGCAUGUGAACUCCGUCACCUGAACAAUCAAGAGAAGACAUGGCAGCCGAAAUAAUUGGGUGAUAUGCAUACCGUUGCUUUCGGAAGUAGCGUAAUGACACAAUGUGUCACGUUCGGCUUGUGAAAGACAACCAUGCAUUUUACGUGAAGCAGUAUUACGUGAGCCUACAUAUUUGGUUGGAGUCUCAUGACUUCUUGUAAGCUCCUCGCAUUGCCUUCUCUCUCUCUCUCUCUCUCUCUCUAUAUAUAUAUAUAUAUAUAUAUAUAUAUAUAUACUCUCUAGAUUAAUAGAAUGGGUUUGAUCCAUGAUUAUUACAUCGGUUUUAAAAUCUCGAUAUGAUGAUCUCAAGUCUUGUAUUUUUCUGCUUCUUUGGCAGAAUUAAUGUCAUAAUUUCUUUCCGCUAUUAUCCCAUAGUAGUGUUAUAUUCUAACUUAAUACGUCAGAAAUGCUGUAAUCUUACACUGCCGAAGCUGAGGAAAGCGUGCGUACGUACUUGCAUCAUCAUGAUCAAAUCUUCCUCUUUCACUUCAGCAGGAGCGAAUGGGAUGAGCUCCUCCUUGGGCAGCACUAACGGGCGCUCCAAGUUGUUGACAUCUUUGAGACUGCAAUCCACGGAGGCCUCGACGAACCACACGCCUUCGCCGGUGCAGGCGACCUCGGGCUCACCGGGGCUCGGCUCGACGAUGCGGCCGGCGACUGGGUAGUAAGGGACGAGAGCCCGGGACAGCGCCGCCUUGAUUGCCUUCGCCGGCGCCAGGCCUUUCUGGAACACCAGUAUCGUGUCCACCAGGACCCCGACCGCCGCAAUGCGGUCCAUGCAAGAGAGGGGAAGGCGGCCGGACGGCGUCGGCUCGGCGGCGACCAAGAGCUCCGGGGCUAGCUUGUUCACGGAAAAGCUCAUGGUUGGUACAACUAGCUGCUUCGAUUUCUCAGCUUUACUCGCUCUGCCGUGGGGUGGUGGUGGUGGUUGGCUUUACAUAUGUAUACAUGCAGAAGGGGAUGGGUGCGCAAUGAACCUGCUUGUUGAGUAUGGGGCUCUCCACCCGAUCGAGCCUGUUGAGCAUGGAAUACGUGUGUGUGUGUCACACCAGUUUGGUUGUGUGGGUAGGCGAGUUAGAAGAAAUAAUGAAUGAGAUUGUGCAGAAUUGAAAAAUCUCAGUUGAAUUGAAGUUUAUCUCUUUUAAUUAACAGAAAGAGUAUGUUAUGGCUAAUCAUAGAUAUUUCUCUACCUUAUAAUAGAUGUGGAAAAGAUAAGAGCAUUCCAUCUAUUCCUAAUCAUGUCAACAUUAAUUUCUAAUCAUGUCUCCUACUUAUAUCAAUCUUUUUCUAUCAUCAAAAUGAUUUUAUAUAAAAGAUAUCUUUUUCUUUGCUGAAAAUAUUUGCUACCUAGAUUUGAUGGAAAUGAUUAUUACAAUGAAAGCUAUUUUGGAAAUUGACAUUAGCUGGUUAAUCUUAUAUAGGUGUUUAUCAAAUCCUCAUACACUAUCUGAAAAGGAUGAAGCAAUGAUAGAAAACAAAUCAUGAUUUAUAAUAAAAUAAAGAUGAAAAGUUCUCAUAUGUAUAGCAGAGUCUCUUGAGAUUGUUGAUACCAAACUUGUGCAAAAGUAGGAUUUAAAUUAUGGUGUUGUCACUAAUAUAGCAAUUGAUAAUGUGGGUUUCUUCGAGUAGAUAGUUUUAUUUUUAUUGGAAGCAAAAAGUCUUUUUAUCCCCUAAUACAAAAGAAAUUACAAGUUCAGAUAACUUAGAUCCAUGAAAAUUUAGAAAAUGAUGAUGAUGAUGAUGUUAACACGAAGAAUGCUGUUAUUCAAUACUCAAAAGUUCCAAAGCCGAAUGAACUUUUAUAAAUAAUUAUUUUAAUUAUAUUGAUCAUAUGUAUGUUUGGAGAUUGUCUCAAUAAAUCUGAUAAAAUUGGUUUGAGAUACAUAAAAUUUUACACCAAAAUAUAUCAUGGGUGAAUUUUUGAAAAAUAUUUAACACAUUAGAUUUUUCACAUAGAUUUAAAAAAAAUUAUAGAAUAUUUUGUUUUCAUAAAUGAUUAUUUUUUCUUUGUCAAUCACUAUCCUCCAACGUGCCUUUGCCCGUAGCCCUUGUCGACCACACUCCUCUUCUCUCCUAGUUACUUGUGCCUCCUCAUACGAGCUGACAAUAUAGGACACCUCCUUCUCUCGUCGCCUGCACCUUUGUAUGAGGGUAUCAAACAUGAUCGAUCUCCUCGCGUUAUAUUUAUUGUUGAUACUCAUUGUUUUAUGCAAAUGGGAUAUUUAUAUUACUUUGAAUAUAUAUAGAAGUGCUCAGAUCAAAAACCUAAUCUAAAUAAAAUCGUUACCGUAAGGAAGUUCCCUGAUGCAUUUUUUGGAUAAUUUAUCUAAAUUAUCUCCCAAUAGAAAAAGUGAAUAUACUAUUGAUUUGACUAUUCAGAAAAUAUCAAUAUUUAAGCUUCCUUAUAUAAUGACAAUACUUGAGUUAGUAGAGUUGAAUAAAAAGUAAAGGAGAUCGAUAAAAUUAUUAAAGGAUUUAUUUUUAACCAAAUAAAGUCAAUAUUGUGGUUAAUGUAUUUAGUAAAAAAUCUAUAAGUUUUAUGGUUGAACUAAUUGUAACUCAAUAGGAGUUUUUUAAACAACCUUGUGUGUUAUGAGAAAAGUAUACGAUUGAUUUUUUUUUAUUUAUGACAUCUAUUCAAGUUUGAUCUCAUCUAACAGAUCUAAUAAAUUAAAUAAGUAUAAGUACCAUAUCCAUAUUUGAUAUUCUUAAAAAAUAACAUGAAAAAAAGAGGGUUUGAAACCUAAUUUUCAAAAUAAUGAGGAUACAUAUUAAAAUUAGAGAUAAAUUAUGUAUCCCUAAUGACGUUAAGGAUUUCCUUAGUGCUUAUGUCAUUGAUUGAAAAGAUGAUUGAGAUAAAAAAAUCUUAAUUAAUCAAACUAUUCUUUUAGUUAAAGUGAUUUAGCAAGAAUAUUUACUUGGAAGCUAGAAUAAAAAAUGAAGAAGGCUUACGUGGUGGGGGUGGUACAGACUUGCCAAUCUUUCUUUAAGUAUAGAUUAAAGAGUGAAGAAUUAUGAGGGUGUACAGACUUAAUGUUGGAGCAUAUGGGUAGUCCAGUUGAGCACGAAGUGAUAGAACGAGGCUGUGCAGACAUGCAAAUCUUGCUUCAUGUCUAAUCUUAAUUGAAUUUUUUUGUAAUUUUACUCGAGGGAAUAAGGAUUUAAUUGGACUGUGUCACAUUUAUUAGCAUCACAUGUUUUAGAUCACUUGUAGAACAACAUGAACAACAAGAUACAGGCUGCGGAUCGAAAGGCUGAAGUGACUGCAUCAACUGUUCCUUCAAGGCAGGUGGAGGGAGGAUGGUUGCCGUCAUGCUAAUUAUGGACAAAGUUCAUCGUCUCUUCGGUGAAGGCCGGUAGAUGUUCCUUUUGAACACAUCGUGUCAGCAACCUCACGCCCUGCUUAGGCUUGGACGGCUGCAGGUAGAUGCAGGAAGCGACGAAGUUGUGGUCGUCGUUCAACGGAGCGACAUGAGUCGGCUCUCCCCACCCAUAGUUCACAUCUGAGAACCCCACCCGGCUCCAAUCCGACACCACCAGCGUCCCGUACUCCAGCGGCACCUUGUCCGGGUCGGCCUCUGCGUCCCCCAUCAUCCAGUCCAAGAACUUGGUGGACAUCCUCUCCUUGGCGUCCCGGAUCAGCUCGAUCACCUCCACCGGCGAGGAACCAGCGAUGGUCCCAGCGGUCGCCUUGAUUCCCAUGGGGUACACGCAGUUGCCAUAGAAGCCUUCCUGCGGCAGCAGCUGGCGCAGCAGGUGGCGGGCGUUGGCGGUGAAGCUGAGGUACACGUCGGCGUGGGAAUCCAAGCUUAUCGCCCUCGUCCGGCACUGCCAGAUCAUAGCCGUGACCACGUCGAAGGUGGAGCACUCCUGGCCCGCCUCCCUGCAGAACUGGUUUUUAACCGCGUCGAUGUGGUCGGAGGGGAUGUCGAACACGGAGGACUCGAAGUAGACGACAGCGGGGGCGGGUGCGUGUCGUUGCGAUAGCUUUGGCGGACGGGGGAUGGCUUCCCUGCACCAGACAGGCUCAACGAGGGGACGAGCGUGGCCUCUUGCGAUCUCGGCGACUGCUUUCAAGAACUGGGCUGCCCCGAGGCCAUCGAAUACUGUGUGAUUGAAUCUGAUGUCCAUUGCGAAUCCACCGCAUGUGAACUCCGUCACCUGAAAAAGUAAUACAGCGCAUAACGGUAAAAAAAAGUCUCGCGUGAGCAUUAAAAUUUAGGCAGCAUGCUCUUCAUCAUCUCCUAAACCAGGUCUGUGUGGCUGUAUGCCGCGUGUUCUUGAAUCAGAGAUAAAGUUGGAUGAGACACAAUAAUAAAACUAAUAAUAAGAACAAUAAAGGUGAUGACUGAAAACGGUGGCACGUUCGACUCGUGAAAUCUGCCGCAUGAGCCUAAUGGCUUCUUGUACAAUUAGUCGGCAGUAGCUACACGAUGAGCAGAGCUAGCUCCUGACACCCAGAAAACAUCUUUAGAAAGGAGCCGAUAUGAACGAAAGGCAGGUAGCUCCUAAAAGCAAGCCAACUUGAUUGCAAUACGUGUGUCUGUGUCAAAGCAAGCCAACCGGGGAGCGGCUCCACGAUUCGCCCGGCGACGGGGUAGUAGGCGACUAGAGCGCGGGACAGCGCCGCCCUGAUGGCCUUCGCCGGCUGCACGCCUUGCUCGAACACGAGUAUCAGGUCGAUGAUCAAUCUGACCACCGCGGUGAUAGAAUGAGAGAAUGAAGUAUGAAAUGAAAAGGAUAAAGCAAAAAGGCACACUUAUUCGUAUGUUGAUGCAUUUUCGGUGUAACGAUGAAAUAGUUCUUGACCGUAUGUAGCAGAGGAGUGGCAAGUGAAUGACUCAUGACAAUGGAAUGCCAUUGAUGUUGCUUAGAGAGGGAGUCAUGUACACGUAUGGUUACGGUAAAAGUUAUCUUAAGACUUCGUAAAAGUAUCGUUAAAAGUCUUCUUUUUUUUUUUGACUUGGUAAAAAUCGAUUAUAACCAAGUCUCCGAUUUGCAGCUACAAAUUAGGGAUUGUUUAGUGUUGUUUAGAUUAAUAUCAUGUGUUAGCAGGUAGGUGACGCAUAAUAUUUAUUUCCUUGUAUGUAUGUCAUACAUGUCGUUUUUACACGGUUUAUAAUGAUUCAAGAGGAUGUCACACCUGCUGCAUGGUAAUGACGAAGAUGACUUGCAGGCGGUGGAUAGUAGCCCGCUCUCAUUGUAGUUCUAGGUAAAACUUCAUCAUCUCUUCAUGGAAGGCGGGUAGAUGAUCCUUUUCACAGCAUCGUGUCAUCAACCUCAAGCCCUGCUUCGGCUUGGGCGGCGACAGAUAGAUGCAGGACGCCACGAAGUUACUGUCGUCAUUCAACGGAGUGACAUGGAUCGGCUCUCCCCACCCGUAGUUCACCUCUGAGAACCCCAUAAGUCUCCAAUCCGACACCACCAGCGUCCCGUACCCCGGUGGCACCCGGUAAGGGUCCUCCUCCGCAGUCUCCCCCAUCAUCCAGUCCAAGAACUUGGUGGAUAUCCUCUCUUUGGCGUCUCGUAUCAGCUCGAUCACCGCCACCGGCGAGGAACCUGCGAUGGUUCCAGCUUUCGCCUUGAUUCCCAUGGGGUACACGCAGUUGCCGUAGUAGCCUUCCUGCGGCAGCAACCCCCGCAGCAGGUGGCGGGUGUUGGCGGCGAAGCCGAGGUGAACGUCGACGUGGGCGUCGAAGCAUAUCGCCCGCGUCCGGCACUGCCAGGCCGUGGCCGUGACCACGUCGAAGGUGGAGCACGUCUGGCCCGUCUCCCUCCAGAACUGGUUCUUCACUGCGUCGAUGUGGUCGGAGGGGAUGUCGAACACGGAGUUCUCCAAGUUGAAAGCCUCGAAGGAGGGUAGUGGAAGACCUGGCGAUAGCUUCGGCGGACUGGGGAUGGCGUCCCUGCACCAGACUGGGUGGACGACGGGACGAGCGUGGCCUCUUGCGAUCUCGGCGACUGCUUUCAAGAACUGGGCUGCUCCGAGGCCGUCGAACACUACGUGGCUCAGCCGGGUGCCCACUGCGAACCCGCCGCAUGUGAACUCCGUCACCUGAACGAUCGAGAGAAGACACGGCUGGGUGAUGUACAUCCUGUUGAUUUUGGAAGUAGCGUAAUGCAAACAGUGUCACGUUCGGCUCGUGAAAGCCAACCAUGCAGUGUCUUACAUGAGCCUAUAUAUGAAUCCACCUUCAUUGCCAACACUUACCACAUGAGUCAGUCAGAUUAUAUAUAUUAAGAUAAACUUACGUCUUAAUAAAUUUAACUUUUUAGAUUAAAUUAAUUUCUAAUAAGCGCUAAUCAUAGAAUUGAUUCACGAUAGUUAUCUAGAUAGUUGUUAUGUUCUAAAUAUGAUUUAGAUUAUGACUCAUGAUGGGAGAUAAUACCUACAUUCACUUAAUAGGUAGUUACCAUCAGGUACUAUAAAUAUGAUCAUAGUUCAUAAACAAGAAGAGGUAUGUACUUGGAAAUAUUUUAUAAAUGUUCUAUGACUUACAUCUUGUUUAAUACUAAAUCAAUUUUCUUGAUCGAAAGCAUUCUAUCUUAAUUGCUUUGUAGUAUUCUAUUUUUAUCGUUCUCUAUCUCCAACAACUCUUAAUAGAAUGAGUUUGAUUCGUGACUUAAUAAACUUAAUCUUUUAGAUUAUGUAGACUACAAGACUCAUCAUCCAUUUUAAAUUAUCGAUAAGAUGAUCUCCAGCGUUCUUUCUUUCAGAUUCUUUGUACAGAAUUAGUGUCAUAGUUUCCUUCCGCUUAUAGGAUUCUGUCAUAUUCAAACUAAUUUAAUUAGUACCUCAGAAGAAAUGAUGUUAUCUUAACGCCGAUGCCGAGGAAAGCGUGUAUCAAAACAUACGUACCUGCAUCAUCAUGAUCAAAUCUUCCUCUUUCACUUCAGCGGGAGCGAAUGGGAUGAGCUCCUCCUUGGGCAGCAGGAGGGGGCGCUCCAAGUUGUUGACAUCUUUGAGAUUGCAAUCCACGGAGGCCUCAACGAACCACACGCCUUCGCCGGUGCAGGCGACCUCGGGCUCGCCGGGGCGCGGCUCGAAGAUGCGUCCGGCGACCGGGUAGUAAGGGACGAGAGCCCGGGAGAGCGCCGCCUUGAUGGCCUUCGCCGGCGCCAGGCCUUGCUGGAACACAAGUAUCGUGUCCGCCAGGACUCUGACUGCUGCAAUCCGGUCCAUGGAGGAGAGCGGGAGGCGGCCGGACGGCGUUGGCUCGGCGGCGGCCACGAGCUCCGGGACGAGCUUGUUCACGGAAAAUCUCAUGGUUGCUACAGUUGCUUCAGUGCCUCAGCUUCAGAUGCUCUGCCAUGAGGCGAUGUUGGUGACCAUAUAGUGAGAGAAAGGAAGGGGAUGGUGUCAGGGAUACCGCUAUCUAAUAUUAUCUAAUCUAGUCAAACGAGAACGUUAGAUUCUCUAAAUUAUUUACAAGUCUACAGUGUGAGUGGAAUCUUCUCAUUCUCAUGGGGGUACCAAGUCAAUUCGAAAGGGUUUUCCUAUUGGCGUUGACGAAUAGGUGUCACCAUAAAAUAUUAAAGGCGAAAACUUAGUUUCUUCUUUAAUGUCCAUUUUGGCACUUAGCGCCAUAAACUAAGUUCAUCCCACGGAGCUCCAGCCGGGGCCGCCGAGGUUUGCUUAUUCACGGAUAAGCUCAUGGUUGCUACAGCUAGCUGCUUUGAUUUCUCGGCUUACAGGCUCUGCCAUGAGGUGGUUGUGGUGGUGGUGGUGGUCAUUAUAUAUGUAUUCAUGCAGAAGGGGAUGAAGCGCAUUUGACCCGCUCGGGUAUGGGGCUCUCCACCCGACCCUGCUGCUGAACAUGGGACGCGUGCGUCAGACGCUGGAGAAAGUGCGUCGGCGAGUUAGAAGCAAUGAUUGACGAGGCCGUGCAGACCGGCGAAUCUCACUCGAAUGAGGGUGUUGGACAUCCUGGCCGCACACCAUGUCCCGUUAGUCACCUCACCAGUUUGUACAAACGUCUGUUCUCUCUCUCUAUAUAUAUAUGUAUGUGCUGUCGCUGACGUUGGAUGCGUGCGUAUAAAUCAUACCGAUGGGGAUUUUGGAUAGGUGAGUGAGAACAAGAGAAGAAUUGCGCCGUCUGUACAGACUUGCCAAUCCCACUUUCAUGUAUAAACGAAAUUGAAGUGUAUCUCUUUCUGUCAACGAAAAGAGAGUAUUUUGUGACUUCCGCCGAAUUCAUUAACAUCUAUCUGCAUGAGCAUGGAAUGUUGGAGCAUAUGGGUAGUCGAGUGAAGAACAAGUGAUGAAUGAUGCUGUGCUGAUUUUUCUGACCAUUUGCAGUAUUCAUUGGGUAGUAAAUGUUUAAUGCACCACAUUAGCUUCCCCACAAUAACAUAUUGUCUUUACUUCGUGUGACUACCACCCUAUUGGGUUGAUAGCUAAGGUGGACUUUAUCAACAUAUAGUUUACUUCCUCUUAAUCUAAUCAUAAUUUAUAUUAGGGGAGUGUGGUGGCUAUUAAAAUAAGAUAAAAAAAAAGACAGUAAUAAGGUGGUUUUUAGUAGCCAUGAGAUUCCAAAGAAAAUGAGAAGAACAAGACAGAAAAUGAAACGAAAGAAAUGGAAGAAGACAAGGAUAACACAAAGUGACUAUUCUCAAUCAUCCAGUAGUGCUUUCAUCUCAGGUUAGAUCAGAUCUAUAGUAGAUUCUUACUGUGAUUACUUAGAGAGAAUUAGGAAGGAUUUAGAUAUUGUGCACAGUGACGUGAUCCUUUAUCCUAGUUAUUCUCUUGUGAUUGUUGCUAAGAUUUUGGGCAAGAGAUUGAGAUUUGUAUAUUUAUUAUUAUUAUAAUGGAUUAUCUCUAGUUUGUCCCGUGGUUUUUACCCUUCACAUUGAAUGAGUUUGCUUGCUAAUAUUUAUUCAUAUACAAAAAUUAUUUCUCUUUAUAUUCCAUCAACUGGUAUCAGAGCAGGGUUAUGAUGAUUUAAUUUUUGUAUUUGAAGGAGGCCAGUAGUAUUUCUUAUAUGAUUAGUUUGAAUGAAAAUAAUUAGAUGAUAUGAAAAUCAAGAAUCGAAGAUAUCUUGUAUUGCAAAGAUUUGUAUGGACCUUUGCAGAGAGAUAGUGCAAAACCCACAACUAUAUCAGAUGAUGAGUGGAAGAUGUUAUAUCAAAAGACAGUAGGUUUAUUCGACAGUGGCUUGAUAAUAGUGUCUUUCAUCAUGUUUCUACUGAAAUUUCUACAUAUUCUCUUUCGAAAAAGUUGGAAAGUCUCUAUGAAAGAAAAACAGUUGACAACAAAGCUUUUUUGAUAAUAGUGUUGUCACCAUGAGUCAAGUAACAAGCAUUUUAUUGAAUAAGGAGUUGAUAAGAAAGAAUUCAGUAACAUCUAAAAAUGAUUCACAAGCACUUAUCUCAGAGAACAGAGAAAGGUCAAAGUCUAGAAGCAGUUCACGCGUGGGUAUGAGCAAAUCAAGAUUAAGAAAAGAUAUUGUUUGCUAUAAUUGUGGUGAGAAAGGACAUUACAAGAACCAAUGUAAGCAACAUAAGAAGAGCAAGAAAAAUGGAAAAGAAGUGGAGUCUACAGAGUCAAAAAAUAAUAUCACAAUUAUAGUGUAGGGUGGUGAUUAUUUGAUUUUGUCUUAUUCUGAUAAUAUUUUUUUUGUGUUUAUUAGGAUCUUAAGUGGGUGACUAACACAGGUGUUUCUUAUCAUGCUAUACCAUGGAGGGAGUUUUUUGCUACAUACAAGUAUGAAAAUUUUGGUGUUGUCAAGAUGAGCAACUACGGCAUAGCAAACAUCAUUGGCAUGAGUGAUAUGUAUUUAAAGACCAACAUUGGUUGCAAAUUAGUGCUUAAGGAUAUGAGGCAUGUGAUUUGACUUUGCUAGUCAUAGGUGCCCAGUUAGCUAAUCACGUGAGUGAUGACACGUGUGACUUGACACGGAAUCUUUUUACUUAUUAUAUUUUAACAUUUAUCAUUUUAUAUUGACUGUUGCAUAUAUACAUGUAUAUAUUGUGAUGUCUUUGGAUCUGUGCAAUAUGAAUCAGAUCGUGAUGAGAUCACGAUAAUGAGACUGAUUCACUUUUAAACACAUAUCCUAAAUAAUCCCGGUCAUAGGUUACUCGAGAGAGACAUCGAGAUAAUCGUAUAAACUGGUGUACUGUAUACCCAUCCAUAUGAUGGAUGCAGUUGGUCUCAUAGCUGCUUGUGUGAGGACACUAGGGAUACAGUACAGGUGCUCAUUAGAGAAUGAGUUCACUGAUUGAUCCGCUUAUGGAAUGCUGGAUGGUUAAUGAUACCUUAUUGUCAGAUAACGAUUCCGUAGUCCUAGUGGUGUAUCUUGUCCUUAGAUUUGAGAUACCAAGGAUGUCCUAUAUUAGUGCUCCGCUCUUUGAUACCAGACUUAUAUGUUUGGAUGUCCCAGAUCUAGUACAGUUGGUCAUUGGGAGUAACAGUUGACCUUACGAGAGCUAUUGAGUAUCGAUAGAGGAUCAUCCACUCUUGGCGUCAUGAGAGGAGCAUCCUAUGCGUUCUUGCUCAGACAAAUCCCUGGCCAUGGUCAUUCGGAUUGAGAGAGAAAGAGUUAUCGGGAAGAAUCCAAUUAGAGCAAGACUCGAGUAGAAACUAUAUGGGUCUGAUAGUACCAUGCCCGAUAUACGAUCUCUAGAAUAUUAUCUCAGUUGAGAAAUAUCACAUACUCAUUUGUAGAGUAUCGUCGCCCCCAAGAUUUCUUAACAUGUUUAAGCUUUGGAGGUGAACCAUCUAUGUUGACAGGUUACACAGAUGUAGAUAUGGCAAGAGAUAUAGAUACGAGGAAGUCCACAUUAGGAUAUGUACUUACUUUUGCAAGAGGAGAUGUGUCAUGACAAUCCAUAUUACAAAGGCGUAUUGCUCUCUCCAUCAUAGAGACAGAAUAUAUUGCUGCUACAGAGGUUUACAAAGAAAUAUUAUGGAUAAAAGAAUUCUUACAAGAAUUGGGACUUAAACAGGAAACUAUAUAGUGCAUUGUGAUAGUCGGAGUGCUAUCCAUUUGUGUAAGAACCCAAUGUUUCAUUCCAAGUCAAAGCAUAUAGAUAUCAGAUACCACUGGAUUUGAAAUGUAUUGAAGAGAAAUAGUUGCAGUUUUAGAAAAUUCACACAGAUGACAACGAAGCAGACAUGCUAGACAAAGAAUUUACUAAAAGAAAGACAGGAGAUAUACUGAUAGCUGGUCGGCAUGGCUUCACAUUGAGGAGUCAUAGGACAACCCUCCUUAUGGGCUGAAGGGGGAUGUUGUUGGGCUGACAGCCCAUAUUCAGCCCAAUGUGAGCUUUAUCAGCCCACAACUCAUCCCCUCUCAACAUAACCCUAAUUUAUAUUAGAGAGGGUGUGAUGGCUCUAAAAAGAGGCAGAAAAAAGCAGUAGCAAGGUAGUUUUUGGCAGUCACAGGAUUCCAAAGAAAAGGAGGAGAACAAGGCAGAAAAGGAAGAAGACAAGGAUAACACAAAGAGAUUGUUCUCAAUCAUCUAGCAGUGCUUUUAUCUUAUGUUAGAUCAGAUCUACAGUAAAUUUUUACUGUGAUUACUUGGGAAGAAUUAUGGAGAAUUUAGAUAUUGUGCACAGUGAUAUGAUCUUUGUAUUCCAAUUAUUCUUUUGUGAUUGUUGCUGGAGUUUUGGACAAAAGAUUGAGAUUUGUAUAUUCAUUAUUAUUAUUAUGGAUUAUCUUUAAUUUGUCCUAUAGUUUUUAUCCUUCAUACAUAAAAAUUAUUUUUCAUAUAUAUUUUAGUGUUCUAUUUUAUUGUGAUUCCAUUUAAUUCCACUGCAUGUUAUAUUAUGCUAAUAUUUAUUUAUACACAAGUUAUUUCGACACCUAUAUAAGAGGUACUACGAGUGCUUUCAACUAAAGCUAAUAAUUAUGAGUUCUUUCAACUAAAGCUAAUAAUUAUAGGAGCUUAGCCGAAAGCUGAAACGCCAAAGGGUUUUAAAAGCUAUAGGACAUUUAUUGCUUUGGUUAACAUUAUCUUUGUAUGUGGUGGACUUCAGAGAGAUGCUUCUUAAUCAUUAAUUGUUCGGGAAAUGAGUAAUGUGGUCGGUGUAGUGCUGCUACCGAUGAGUCACAAUGUUCAUCUAUGAACAUUUCAGGAAAGCUCCGGCAAGCCGUGCGACGUGCAAACCUGUUGAUCUAUGUACGACUUCCACGUAGAACAACAUGAGCAACAAGAGAUAGGUUGUAGAUCGCCAUGCAUGUACAACUGUUCCUUCAAGGCAGGUGGAGGGAGGAUGGUUGCAGUCAUGCUAAUUAUGGACAAACUUCAUCGUCUCUUCGGUGAAGGCCGGUAGAUGUUCCUUUUGAACACAUCGUGUCAGCAACCUCACGCCCUGCUUCGGCAUGGACGGCUGCAGGUAGAUGCAGGAAGCGAUGAAGUUGCUGUCGUCAUUCAACGGUGCGACAUGGAUCGGCUCUCCCCACCCAUAGUUCACUUCUGAGAACCCCACCCGGCUCCAAUCCGACACCACCAGCGUCCCGUACUCCAGCGGCACCUUGUACGGGUCGUCCUCCGCGUCCCCCAUCAUCCAGUCCAAGAACUUGGCGGACAUCCUCUCCUUGGCGUCUCGUAUCAGCUCGAUCACCUCCACCGGCGAGGAACCAGCGAUUGUCCCGGCGGUCGUCUGGAUCCCCAUGGGGUACACGCAGUUGCCGUAGAAGCCUUCCUGCGGCAGCACCUGGCGCAAAAGGUGGCGGGUGUUGGCGGCGAAGCCGAGGUGCACGUCGGCGUGGGGGUCCAAGCCUAUCGCCCGCGUCCGGGACUGCCAGAUCAUGGCCGUGACCACGUCGAAGGUGGAGCACUUCUGGCCCGUCUCCCUCCAGAACUGGUUCUUCACCGCGCUGAUAUGGUCGGAGGAGACGUCGAAGACGGAGGUCUCGAAACGGAAGGAAG
This 13400-nucleotide long non-coding RNA is filed under the name Musa acuminata (dwarf banana). Its description in RNAcentral is "long non-coding RNA (MACU_LNC002984)". The record is from RNAcentral. Lineage: Eukaryota; Viridiplantae; Streptophyta; Magnoliopsida; Zingiberales; Musaceae.